This 492-nucleotide ribosomal RNA is filed under the name uncultured bacterium. RNAcentral's name for it is "partial 16S ribosomal RNA". It matches the Rfam family "Bacterial small subunit ribosomal RNA", at positions 29 to 507 of the family's 1533-position model. The record is from RNAcentral.
AGUGAACGCUGGCGGUAGGCCUAACACAUGCAAGUCGAACGGCAGCACAGUAAGAGCUUGCUCUUACGGGUGGCGAGUGGCGGACGGGUGAGGAAUACAUCGGAAUCUACUUUUUCGUGGGGGAUAACGUAGGGAAACUUACGCUAAUACCGCAUACGACCUACGGGUGAAAGCAGGGGAUCUUCGGACCUUACGCGAUUGAAUGAGCCGAUGUCGGAUUAGCUAGUUGGCGGGGUAAAGGCCCACCAAGGCGACGAUCCGUAGCUGGUCUGAGAGGAUGAUCAGCCACACUGGAACUGAGACACGGUCCAGACUCCUACGGGAGGCAGCAGUGGGGAAUAUUGGACAAUGGGCGCAAGCCUGAUCCAGCCAUACCGCGUGGGUGAAGAAGGCCUUCGGGUUGUAAAGCCCUUUUGUUGGGAAGGAAAAGCAGCAGGUUAAUACCCCGCUGUUCUGACGGUACCCAAAGAAUAAGCACCGGCUAACUUCGUG